CCUACGUGAGGCAGCAGUGAGGAAUAUUGGUCAAUGGCCGGAAGGCUGAACCAGCCAUGCCGCGUGAAGGUCAGUGCCCUAUGGGCGUUAAACUUCUUUUGUGCGGGAGCAAUAAUGGUCACGUGUGGCUAGACGAGAGUACCGGACGAAUAAGCAUCGGCUAACGCCGUGCCAGCAGCCGCGGUAAUACGGGGGAUGCAAGCGUUAUCCGGAUUUAUUGGGUUUAAAGGGUGCGUAGGAUGGGAGGUAAGUCAGCGGUGAAAUGCCCCCGCUCAACGGGGUGAAGUGCCAUUGAUACUGCCUUGCUGGAGUGCGGAUGACGUGGGAGGAAUGUGUGGUGUAGCGGUGAAAUGCAUAGAUAUCACACAGAACACCGAUUGCGAAGGCAUCUCACGGAUCCGCGAUUGACGCUGAUGCACGAAAGCGUGGGUAUCGAACAGGAUUAGAUACCCCUGUAGUC
Molecule: ribosomal RNA, 460 nt
Filed under: uncultured bacterium
Lineage: Bacteria
Description: partial 16S ribosomal RNA
Rfam family: Bacterial small subunit ribosomal RNA
Source: RNAcentral